AGCAGCCGCGGUAAUUCCAGCUCCAAUAGCGUAUAUUUAAGUUGUUGCAGUUAAAAAGCUCGUAGUUGGAUUUCUGCCGUGGUGCGCCUGGCCCGGCCUCUAGGGGUUGUGAGCCGGCGCGCACCGGGCAUCCUUCGUGUGAACACGUCUGCCGUUGAUUCGGUUCGGGCGUGGGAACACGAUCGUUUACUUUGAAGAAAUUAGAGUGUUCAAAGCAGGCAUUUGCUGUGAAUAGGUUAGCAUGGAAUAAUAAGAUAGGGCUUCGGUUCUAUUUUGUUGGUUUCUAGGACUGAAGUAAUGAUUGAUAGGGAUAGUUGGGGGUGCUCGUAUUGACCGGCCAGAGGUGAAAUUCACGGAUUCGGUCAAGACGAACUUAUGCGAAAGCAUUCACCAAGGAUGUCUUCUUUAAUCAAGAACGAAAGUUGGGGGAUCGAAGACGAUCAGAUACCGUCGUAGUCUCAACCAUAAACUAUGCCGACUAGGGAUUGGGCCGCGUUGAUUUUCAGGACCGGCUCAGCACCUUAUGAGAAAUCAAAGUCUUUGGGUUCCGGGGGGAGUAUGGUCGCAAGGCUGAAA
RNAcentral lists this ribosomal RNA (576 nucleotides) under Alexandrium tamarense. RNAcentral's name for it is "partial Eukaryotic small subunit ribosomal RNA". It matches the Rfam family "Eukaryotic small subunit ribosomal RNA", at positions 569 to 1142 of the family's 1831-position model. The record is from RNAcentral. Lineage: Eukaryota; Dinophyceae; Gonyaulacales; Pyrocystaceae.